RNAcentral lists this unclassified non-coding RNA (334 nucleotides) under soil metagenome. RNAcentral's name for it is "partial contains 5.8S ribosomal RNA, internal transcribed spacer 2, and large subunit ribosomal RNA". The stretch from base 1 to 120 matches the Rfam family "5.8S ribosomal RNA", at positions 35 to 154 of the family's 154-position model. The record is from RNAcentral.
GAUGAAGAACGCAGUGAAAUGCGAUAAGUAGUGUGAAUUGCAGAAUUCAGUGAAUCAUCGAAUCUUUGAACGCACAUUGCGCCCCUUGGUAUUCCAUGGGGCAUGCCUGUUCGAGCGUCAUUUGUACCUUCAAGCUUUGCUUGGUGUUGGGUGUUUGUCCAUUCUCUUGCAGAGGGACUCGCCUUAAAGUAAUUGGCAGCCAGUGUUUUGGUUUUGAAGCGCAGCACAAGUCGCGAUUCAAAGCUAUACGCCCGCUUCCACAAGCCUUCUUCACUUUUGACCUCGGAUCAGGUAGGGAUACCCGCUGAACUUAAGCAUAUCAAUAAGCGGAGGA